UAGGGAAUCUUCGGCAAUGGGGGGAACCCUGACCGAGCAACGCCGCGUGAGUGAAGAAGGUUUUCGGAUCGUAAAGCUCUGUUGUUAAGGAAGAACGAGUGUGAGAAUGGAAAGUUCAUACUGUGACGGUACUUAACCAGAAAGGGACGGCUAACUACGUGCCAGCAGCCGCGGUAAUACGUAGGUCCCGAGCGUUGUCCGGAUUUAUUGGGCGUAAAGCGAGCGCAGGCGGUUAGAUAAGUCUGAAGUUAAAGGCAGUGGCUCAACCAUUGUAGGCUUUGGAAACUGGUUAACUUGAGUGCAGAAGGGGAGAGUGGAAUUCCAUGUGCAGCGGUGAAAUGCGUAGAUAUAUGGAGGAACACCGGUGGCGAAAGCGGCUCUCUGGUCUGUAACUGACGCUGAGGCUCGAAAGCGUGGGGAGCGAACAGG
RNAcentral lists this ribosomal RNA (429 nucleotides) under Bacteroidota bacterium. Its description in RNAcentral is "Bacteroidetes bacterium partial 16S ribosomal RNA". It matches the Rfam family "Bacterial small subunit ribosomal RNA", at positions 355 to 776 of the family's 1533-position model. Lineage: Bacteria; Pseudomonadati; Bacteroidota. The record is from RNAcentral.